GACGAACGCUGGCGGCGUGCUUAACACAUGCAAGUCGAGCGGUAAGGCCCUUUCGGGGGUACACGAGCGGCGAACGGGUGAGUAAUACAUCGGAACGUGCCCGGUAGUGGGGGAUAGCUCGGCGAAAAGCCGGAUUAAUACCGCAUACGACCCUGCGGGUGAAAGCGGGGGAUCGCAAGACCUCGCGCUAUCGGAGCGGCCGAUGUCAGAUUAGGUUGUUGGUGGGGUAAAGGCCUACCAAGCCGACGACUGUAGCUGGUCUGAGAGGACGACCAGCCACACUGGGACUGAGACACGGCCCA
This 302-nucleotide ribosomal RNA is filed under the name uncultured bacterium. RNAcentral's name for it is "bacterial SSU rRNA". It matches the Rfam family "Bacterial small subunit ribosomal RNA", at positions 28 to 333 of the family's 1533-position model. The record is from RNAcentral.